This 253-nucleotide ribosomal RNA is filed under the name uncultured bacterium. RNAcentral's name for it is "partial 16S ribosomal RNA". It matches the Rfam family "Bacterial small subunit ribosomal RNA", at positions 524 to 776 of the family's 1533-position model. The record is from RNAcentral.
UACGUAGGGAGCAAGCGUUGUUCGGAAUUAUUGGGCGUAAAGAGCGCGUAGGCGGUUCGGUAAGUCUGACGUGAAAUCCCGGAGCUUAACUCCGGAACUGCGUUGGAUACUGCCGGGCUUGAGUGUGGGAGAGGAGAGUGGAAUUCCCAGUGUAGAGGUGAAAUUCGUAGAUAUUGGGAGGAACACCCGUGGCGAAGGCGGCUCUCUGGACCACAACUGACGCUGAGGCGCGAAAGCUAGGGUAGCAAACGGG